Zalophus californianus (California sea lion) is the source of this 104-nucleotide small nuclear RNA. The record is from Ensembl. NCBI's taxonomy places the organism in Eukaryota, Metazoa, Chordata, Mammalia, Carnivora, Otariidae.
GUGCUUGCUUUGGCAGCACGCAUCCUAAGACUGGAACGACACAGAGAUUAGCACGGCCCCUGCACAAGGAUGAUGCGCAAAUUCAUGAAGCGUUCCAUAUUUUA